GGGGAAUAUUGGACAAUGGGCGCAAGCCUGAACCAGCCAUGCCGCGUGCAGGAAGACGGCCCUAUGGGUUGUAAACUGCUUUUGUCAGGGAAUAAACCCCCGUACGUGUACGGGGCUGAAGGUACCUGAAGAAUAAGCAUCGGCUAACUUCGUGCCAGCAGCCGCGGUAAUACGAAGGGUGCAAGCGUUACUCGGAAUUACUGGGCGUAAAGCGUGCGUAGGUGGUGGUUUAAGUCCGUUGUGAAAGCCCUGGGCUCAACCUGGGAACUGCAGUGGAUACUGGAUCACUAGAGUGUGGCAGAGGGUAGUGGAAUUCCCGGUGUAGCAGUGAAAUGCGUAGAGAUCGGGAGGAACAUCAGUGGCGAAGGCGACUGCCUGGGCCAACACUGACACUGAGGCACGAAAGCGUGGGGAGCAAACA
RNAcentral lists this ribosomal RNA (421 nucleotides) under uncultured Lysobacteraceae bacterium. RNAcentral describes it as "bacterial SSU rRNA". It matches the Rfam family "Bacterial small subunit ribosomal RNA", at positions 356 to 774 of the family's 1533-position model. The record is from RNAcentral. Lineage: Bacteria; Pseudomonadati; Pseudomonadota; Gammaproteobacteria; Lysobacterales; Lysobacteraceae.